Non-coding RNA from Spinacia oleracea (spinach), 94 nucleotides. Lineage: Eukaryota; Viridiplantae; Streptophyta; Magnoliopsida; Caryophyllales; Amaranthaceae. The record is from Rfam.
AAAAGGCAAGAAUGAUGAUUCAAUUAGAUGUGUGAAGAAAGCAAUUUCUUGUGAACAUUAAACUUUUGAGGCAUAUUUAUAUCCUGACUUGCCC